Molecule: unclassified non-coding RNA, 338 nt
Filed under: Phyllota phylicoides
Lineage: Eukaryota; Viridiplantae; Streptophyta; Magnoliopsida; Fabales; Fabaceae
Description: partial external transcribed spacer
Source: RNAcentral
GUAGCAUCCGUUAAUGACAUUGCAUCACGAGCCAACCAUGCUCCCGCGAACGGAGAGCAGGACCAACUCGGAGGCAAGCGUCAUCCAAGGCAACCGAAAUUCGAGGGACACAAUGAGGCAUCAACCCACGUUCACCGCAUGGACUGCAUCCGAGAGAACGGCAUAUGCCCGUGUACCAGAGAAGCCGUGACAAAGCAUGACUAAUAUGGAGCACGUGCAUUACCUUGAAAUCCUUCGGCAACCCAGCAAAGGAGGCCCGAAUGGAAGGAUAAUUACGAGGCACAUGGAUACCAUCCAACAGGUAGUCAGCACAGGAACCGCAAAUGAACACCAGAGCC